CGGUAGUUCACAAUAUAACAGAAAUAUGAAUGUAACCAGUUCGUAUGUAUACUUAGUCUGUGUCUCUUGUUUGGGAGUGUGUUUCCGCGGAACGCCGCUCUUCUCAAGUGAAUCCAGUUGAAUGAACGAAGAGAUGGAAGUGCCGGCGGUGUUUGCGCCAUCGAGUGUCCGAUUAUAGUUCCAUGCACUCGACGACCAAACACCGCUGUAUGUAUUCGCGGCUAAAGAUGGCCGCUGCCACGUGUUUGCACAUACGAACGAAGGCCACCCAGCCAACCACUUGCGGUUAGCGAGGUCAAGAAGGGCAAUAAGCAC
Non-coding RNA from Pelobates cultripes (western spadefoot toad), 315 nucleotides. NCBI's taxonomy places the organism in Eukaryota, Metazoa, Chordata, Amphibia, Anura, Pelobatidae. The record is from the annotation of a GenBank genome assembly.